GAUGAACGCUGGCGGCGUGCUUAACACAUGCAAGUUGGGCGAAGCGCUUACGACAGAACCUUCGGGGGAAGAUGUAAGGGACUGAGCGGCGGACGGGUGAGUAACGCGUGGGUAACCUGCCUCAUACAGGGGGAUAACAGUUGGAAACGGCUGCUAAUACCGCAUAAGCGCACAGUAUCGCAUGAUACGGUGUGAAAAACUCCGGUGGUAUGAGAUGGACCCGCGUCUGAUUAGCUAGUUGGAGGGGUAACGGCCCACCAAGGCGACGAUCAGUAGCCGGCCUGAGAGGGUGAACGGCCACAUUGGGACUGAGACACGGCCCAGACUCCUACGGGAGGCAGCAGUGGGGAAUAUUGCACAAUGGGGGAAACCCUGAUGCAGCGACGCCGCGUGAAGGAAGAAGUAUCUCGGUAUGUAAACUUCUAUCAGCAGGGAAGAAAAUGACGGUACCUGACGAAGAAGCCCCGGCUAACUACGUG
This 479-nucleotide ribosomal RNA is filed under the name uncultured bacterium. RNAcentral's name for it is "partial 16S ribosomal RNA". It matches the Rfam family "Bacterial small subunit ribosomal RNA", at positions 28 to 507 of the family's 1533-position model. The record is from RNAcentral.